Molecule: ribosomal RNA, 525 nt
Filed under: Uvarovites inflatus
Lineage: Eukaryota; Metazoa; Arthropoda; Insecta; Orthoptera; Tettigoniidae
Description: partial 16S large subunit ribosomal RNA
Rfam family: Bacterial large subunit ribosomal RNA
Source: RNAcentral
CGAGUUAAGGUGAUACAAGCUAUUAGCCCACUGAUACUCCUUAUCAGGCCGCGGUAUUUUGACCGGGCAUCGGUAGCAUAAUCAUUAGUCUUUUAAUUGAAGGCUGGAAUGAAUGGUUUGACGAAACAUUAACUGUCUCUGUAGAAUUUGAUAGAAUUUAACUUCUGAGUUAAAAGGCUUAGAUGAAUGUAAAAGACGAGAAGACCCUAUAGAUCUUUAUAUGAAGUUACAAUUAUUUUAUUUAGGUGUAGUGGUGAUAGUUGAGGCAUCAUAUUUUGUUGGGGUGACAUGAAGAUAAAAAUAACUCUUUAUAUUAUACACAUUGAUUUAUGAAUGAUUGAUCCAUUUUUAGUGAUUGUAAGAUAAAGUUACCUUAGGGAUAACAGCGUAAUUUUUUUUGAGAGUUCAUAUCGACAAAAAAGAUUGCGACCUCGAUGUUGGAUUAAGGAAUAUGAUUAGGUGUAGAAGUUUAAUUAAUAAGUCUGUUCGACUUUUAAAUCCUUACGUGAUCUGAGUUCAGACCGG